RNAcentral lists this unclassified non-coding RNA (207 nucleotides) under uncultured Glomeraceae. Its description in RNAcentral is "sequence contains 18S rRNA gene". Lineage: Eukaryota; Fungi; Glomeromycota; Glomeromycetes; Glomerales; Glomeraceae. The record is from RNAcentral.
UACAUCGAUCCUAGAAACCAACAAAAUAGAAUGCGAUGUCCUAUUUCAUUAUUCCAUGCUAAUGUAUUCAAGCGUUAGCCUGCUAUAAACACUCUAAUUUUUUCAAGGUAACAGUCCUAAUUCCCCAAAACAUCAAAUUAAUGACAUUAAGGUUCCUUAGAAGGUGAGAACCAAUAUGACCAGUACACACCAAUGGCAUGACCAAUC